AUUGAACGCUGGCGGCAUGCUUUACACAUGCAAGUCGAACGGCAGCACGGGGGCAACCCUGGUGGCGAGUGGCGAACGGGUGAGUAACACAUCGGAACGUGCCCAGUUGUGGGGGAUAACCUAUCGAAAGGUAGGCUAAUACCGCAUGAGCUCGGCAAGAGGAAAGCGGGGGACUCAGCGAUGGGCCUCGCGCGACUGGAGCGGCCGAUGUCCGAUUAGCUAGUUGGUGGGGUAAAGGCUUACCAAGGCGACGAUCGGUAGCUGGUCUGAGAGGAUGAUCAGCCACACUGGGACUGAGACACGGCCCAGACUCCUACGGGAGGCAGCAGUGGGGGAAUUUUGG
This 343-nucleotide ribosomal RNA is filed under the name uncultured bacterium. RNAcentral's name for it is "bacterial SSU rRNA". It matches the Rfam family "Bacterial small subunit ribosomal RNA", at positions 29 to 368 of the family's 1533-position model. The record is from RNAcentral.